Molecule: ribosomal RNA, 465 nt
Filed under: Vreelandella stevensii
Lineage: Bacteria; Pseudomonadati; Pseudomonadota; Gammaproteobacteria; Oceanospirillales; Halomonadaceae
Description: partial 16S ribosomal RNA
Rfam family: Bacterial small subunit ribosomal RNA
Source: RNAcentral
CCUACGGGAGGCAGCAGUGGGGAAUAUUGGACAAUGGGGGGAACCCUGAUCCAGCCAUGCCGCGUGUGCGAAGAAGGCCCUCGGGUUGUAAAGCACUUUCAGUGAGGAAGAACGCCUGGUGGUUAAUACCCAUCAGGAAAGACAUCACUCACAGAAGAAGCACCGGCUAACUCCGUGCCAGCAGCCGCGGUAAUACGGAGGGUGCGAGCGUUAAUCGGAAUUACUGGGCGUAAAGCGCGCGUAGGUGGCUUGAUAAGCCGGUUGUGAAAGCCCCGGGCUCAACCUGGGAACGGCAUCCGGAACUGUCAAGCUAGAGUGCAGGAGAGGAAGGUAGAAUUCCCGGUGUAGCGGUGAAAUGCGUAGAGAUCGGGAGGAAUACCAGUGGCGAAGGCGGCCUUCUGGACUGACACUGACACUGAGGUGCGAAAGCGUGGGUAGCAAACAGGAUUAGAUACCCUAGUAGUC